Molecule: ribosomal RNA, 419 nt
Filed under: uncultured bacterium
Lineage: Bacteria
Description: partial 16S ribosomal RNA
Rfam family: Bacterial small subunit ribosomal RNA
Source: RNAcentral
AUAUUGGACAAUGGGGGCAACCUGAUUCAGCCACGCCGCGUUUGGGAAGAAGGUCUUCGGGUUGUAAAGCACUUUAAGGUGGGAGGAAGGGCUUUAGGGUAAUACCCUGACAUUUUGACGCUUCCAUACGUAUAAACCCCGGGCUACUCUGUUGCAGCAACCGCGGUAAUACAGAGGGUGCAAGCGUUAAUCGGAAUUACUGGGCGUAAAGCGCGCGUAGGUGGUUCAGUAAGAUGGGUGUGAAAUCCCCGGGCUUAACCUGGGAACUGCUUUCAUAACUGCUGAGCUAGAGUACGGUAGAGGGUAGUGGAAUUUCCUGUGUAGCGGUGAAAUGCGUAGGUAUAGGAAGGAACACCAGUGGCGAAGGCGACUACCUGGACUGAUACUGACACUGAGGUGCGAAAGCGUGGGGAGCAAAC